UUAAAUAAAAUCUUUAAAAAAAAAAAAAUUGUAGUGAUACAGAGAAAAUUAGCAUGACCCCUGUGCAAGGAUGACACGCAAAUUUGUGAACUGUUCCAUAUUUUA
Molecule: small nuclear RNA, 105 nt
Filed under: Dasypus novemcinctus (nine-banded armadillo)
Lineage: Eukaryota; Metazoa; Chordata; Mammalia; Cingulata; Dasypodidae
Source: RNAcentral